ACACUAUCGAGCUAGUCACCUAUCAACCAUGGUCGUUCUUUGGUUUUUGCCCAUUGUAUUACCUCUCAUUUUAGGACUAGCCUUCGCCUUCGCCUUCGGUCUUCAUCGUCUUCUCAUAAGAAACAAGCCUGCAAAUUUACCUAAUGGAACUAUGGGAUGGCCUCUCUGUGGAGAGACACUUGCCUUUCUGAAGCCUCAUAGAUCAAACUCCAUGGGCACCUUCUUGCAAGAACGUUGCUCCAGGUAUGGGAAAGUUUUCAAAUCACAUCUCCUUGGUUCCCCUGCUAUAGUUUCUUGUGACCAUGAAUUCAACAUGUUUAUCCUUCAAAAUGAAGGGAAAUUAUUCGAAGCCAGCUACCCUACAGCCAUGCAUGGCAUUCUUGGCAAGUUCUCAUUACUUUUCGUCUCCGGUGACCUUCAUAAAAAGCUAAGAAGCAUCGCCGUAAGCUUCACCACCGUGUCUAAGUCAUCCCCUAGCUUCCUUCACUGUGUGGAGAAGUUCGCUAUGUCAAUGAUGGAAUCAUGGAAAGAGUGUAAAGAAGUUGCCUUUCAUAAAGAAGUUAGAAAGUUUACACUCAAUCUCAUGGUGAAGACCCUUUUGAAUAUUGAACCAGAAGAGCCAGUAGCCUCCAAGAUAUUGAAAGAUUUUCGAACUUACAUGAAAGGAUUUGUCUCUUUGCCAUUAAACUUCCCUGGAUCUCCUUAUACCAAAGCAGUCAAGGCAAGAGCAAGACUUUCUUCCACCGUGAGAGAGAUAAUUAAAGAAAGGGUAAAUAAAGGAGACUUCUUGCAUGUUAUUUUAUCAAAACAGAGGCUAAGCGAUGAUGAGACCGUAAGCAUUGUAUUAGACAUCUUGCUUGGAGGCUAUGAGACAACCUCGACCAUCAUUUCUUUAGUUGUUUACUUCAUUGGGCAUGCACCGGCUGCUUUUGAAAGCUUGAAGAAAGAAUAUGAAGCUAUAAGAAGAAGCAAAGAGGAUGGCAAACCCUUGGACUGGGAAGAUUACCAGAAAAUGGAGUUCACCAACAAUGUAAUAUCAGAAACCAUGAGAUGUGGGAACGUUGUCAAGUUUGUCCACCGCAAAGCUCUUGAAGAUGUGAAAUACAAAGGAUAUAUCGUUCCUUUAGGAUGGAAAGUUUUACCAGUAUUUACAGGGGCACAUUUUGAUGCUUCCCUUCAUGAAAACCCUUUCGAAUUUAAUCCUUGGAGAUGGAGUACUGAUAAAGCGACAAGCAAAAAGGUUAUGCCGUUUGGUGGUGGACCUCGGCUAUGUCCAGGGGCCGAGCUAGCUAAAGUGGAGACUGCAUUCUUCCUUCAUCAUCUUGUCCUUAAUUAUAGGUGGGAAAUAAAGGCAGAUGACUUCCCCAUUGCAUACCCUUAUGUGGAAUUCCAGCGAGGCUUGCUACUGGAAAUCGAACCAGCUGAAACAGACGACAUAUCAUAUCCGGGAAAAGAGAGGCCUGGAUUCUAGCUGCUCAAUUACAGUUAACGGUUGAUCAAUGUAUAUUGAAAUAAAUUAUUAUGAGGUCAAAUUAUUCUUCAGGGUAGAAUUUAAUUCGUGUAAUUAAUCUCCUUUAGAAAGAAGGAAAUGGAUUUGACCCUAGUUAAUUCCAGAAAUUUG
RNAcentral lists this unclassified non-coding RNA (1621 nucleotides) under Hevea brasiliensis (rubber tree). The record is from RNAcentral. Lineage: Eukaryota; Viridiplantae; Streptophyta; Magnoliopsida; Malpighiales; Euphorbiaceae.